AACCCAUGGUGAGGGCACCGUCUCAAUAAGUCAUUAUACCUCUCCCAUGCAUUAUAUAACGUUUCUAAAACGAUUUGCACGAAGGAAGAGAUAUUAUUCUUCAACUU
RNAcentral lists this small nucleolar RNA (107 nucleotides) under Gossypium hirsutum (cotton). Its description in RNAcentral is "Plant small nucleolar RNA R71". It matches the Rfam family "Plant small nucleolar RNA R71". Rfam says of the family: R71 is a member of the C/D box family of snoRNAs containing the C (UGAUGA) and D (CUGA) box motifs. Lineage: Eukaryota; Viridiplantae; Streptophyta; Magnoliopsida; Malvales; Malvaceae. The record is from Rfam by way of RNAcentral.